UUUAUAGCUUGCUAUGAUAAAAAUUAGUGGCAGACGGGUGAGUAAUGCAUAGGAAUCUACCUAGUAGUAUGGGAUAGCCACUAGAAAUGGUGGGUAAUACUGUAUAAUCCCUGCGGGGGAAAGAUUUAUCGCUAUUAGAUGAGCCUAUGUUAGAUUAGCUAGUUGGUAGGGUAAAGGCCUACCAAGGCAGUGAUCUAUAGCUGGUCUGAGAGGAUGAUCAGCCACACUGGAACUGAGAUACGGUCCAGACUCCUACGGGAGGCAGCAGUGGGGAAUAUUGGACAAUGGGCGCAAGCCUGAUCCAGCUAUGCCGCGUGAGUGAGGAAGGCCUUAGGGUUGUAAAACUCUUUCAGUGGGGAAGAUAAUGACGGUACCCACAGAAGAAGUCCCGGCAAACUCCGUGCCAGCAGCCGCGGUAAUACGGAGGGGGCAAGCGUUGUUCGGAAUUAUUGGGCGUAAAGGGCAUGUAGGCGGUUCGGUAAGUUAAAGGUGAAAUGCCA
Molecule: ribosomal RNA, 500 nt
Filed under: uncultured Anaplasma sp.
Lineage: Bacteria; Pseudomonadati; Pseudomonadota; Alphaproteobacteria; Rickettsiales; Anaplasmataceae
Description: bacterial SSU rRNA
Rfam family: Bacterial small subunit ribosomal RNA
Source: RNAcentral